RNA transcript from Anopheles gambiae (African malaria mosquito), 5147 nucleotides. It is a transcript of the gene named ribonuclease P protein subunit p40, with no coding region annotated. The transcript is spliced from 6 exons. Lineage: Eukaryota; Metazoa; Arthropoda; Insecta; Diptera; Culicidae. The record is from RefSeq and is a predicted model, not a curated record.
AACAAAUGCUAUGCUUUCAUUUGAGGUUAGCCGGAAAAGCACAACGGCAGCUCGUGGCAGCUGAACAGUUCGAAUUUAUUUCGUAUUGUCUUAGUUUUGGACCAGAAUGUUGUGCCCAGAAAUAUGGAAGUUUCCUACCCCAGCGUGCAAGAUUACACACAUAGAGAAGCCGAACUGGUGUCAGAAAACGUGCCAGCAGCGAACGGAAAUCCUUGCCUUACUACAGCCAAUCCGUAUGAUUUCAGUUGUGAUACCUGCGAAAAAUCCGAACUGCCUCCGUGAAUUGGAAAGCAACCUAUCUGUGAACAGCAGCUUACUCUUUCGAGUACGGCAAUUGCCCUUGAUAGAGUUACUGAAAAAUGAGUUCGUGGAGGCAUUUGUUAAACGAGGCACUUUAUAUGCGGUUAGCACAAACAUCAACUUGGAAUCUGGCGGCUGCCUUGUAAUUACACCGCAGGGAGAAUUGGAAAUGAGUCUCAGUCGUGAAACGUAUCAGAUGGUGAAAGGCAAUCUUGAUGGUAGUGUUAUUUCGAAAAGAGGAGAUAUGGUCGUAAUCAAGUUGGAUUUGAAGUCACCAAAAUGUAGAGAGCAGCUGGGGCAUGUCAACCUUGCGUUCGAUAUAACGCUACGAUGGAUUCCUCCGAAAAGUACGACUACCAAGGAGAACAACGUACCCGAUCCUCAAGUGCACGGUAGCUCGAUUGCCGAAUAUCUGCGAGUAGUGUGCCGACUGCAGGUUGAAAAUGUGCCCGAUGGUUAUAAAAAGAUAACACGAACCGAGGAAUGUAUUCCCCUGAUCGAUACCAGCAACCCAUUUAAGGACGGUGAGCAAGCAUACAUCAGGCAAGACCAACUGCUAGAGUACAUAGGUGUACUUGCACUGGACUGUAACUCGGCUCCGAUCGAAUAUGUUAGUAGUUACAGGCUCGACGAGUGCAAGAAAAAAACAGACACCGUUACAAUAUUGCAUCGCCAGGGUGUGAUAACGCCGGAGGAGGCAGACGGCAGUAUCAUGCGGUUAGUGGAGUUGGUUGGUGGGUAACUGCGUGGGGGAUCCUCAACUCCUCGGCGGAAUACAGCUUCGAUCGAUGUUGUCUUCCUGUGUUGCUCCGGAUGCGUUGGAUAACUUUUAUCACUUGCGGGAUCACUUUAGUUAGAGUUUUUCCAGUCUCUUACUUUUCCACUUUUGACACAAUUACACUCACUUAAAUCACUCCGGACGGCUGCGCCAAUUAUAAGUGCAAGGCUUCACGUUUCAUAAAAAAAACUUUAUUACUUUAUAUAUAUUUAAUAUAUAAACAUAAUGCUUUUAAAAACUUUAUAUAUAUAUAUAUAACAUAUACGUCUAAAAGUGAUUUGGAAAGAAAGAAAAGAUUUUUUACUUCAAAGGUUUUUUCACCUUGAAAAAAAUAUACAGUGAACCCUCUCUUAUUUGACACCUCUCCAAUUUGAAAAACCUCUCUUAUUUGAACAUUUUGCACAGUCCCUUGAUUUCCAGUACAUUUUUGUUCCUCUAAUUUGGAAAACCUCUGAAAUCUGUGUCCCUCUUAUUUGUGUAUGGUGUUGCCAUGGUUAUUUAAUGAUGUAUGCUCAAAUUGGCAAUCGUGUUCGCAGUUUCCUAUAGCAACAGUUAAGGCUGCAUACUAAAUGUUCUGUCUCUUUCUUGUUUGGAUGGACCUUUCAUUCACUUUCCACCUCUGUAAUUUGAAAACCCCUCUUAUUCGACAGUCCCAUCGCCUCUCAAAUAAGAGAGGGUUCACUGUAUAUAUAUGAUAGUAAUAUUUUUUUUUAACUGAUUAAUAUAUAAUUCAUUUUACAUGACUAAACUGAAGGGUAUUGUAAGAAGAUUAGAAUUAAUCAACAAAACAUUGCAGCAAAAUCAGGGAAGAGUAAGGCAGUGUGCUCUAACCACAUACAGACUACAGGUGGACGAAAUAUACUCCGUAUUUAGGAAAGAAGUAGGGACAAACUACGACAAAUACGACGAGACAGAAAUUAAAUUUUACAAUAAUAUCAUUCAAAAUUUAAUCACUAACAUAAUCGAAAGAAUUAACAAAGAGACAACUAACAACUCAGACGAUUUAAACGAGACUUUGAAAACAAAUAAGAAACUAACAUUAAAGACCACAACUCACAUAAUCAUAUCACUUUUAGCUGCAUACAAAAGACAAAAGCAAUUCCUUCCCAUUACUCACGGAGCAAUAAAAACAAAUACAAGCGUAGACACAAAUAACCUACCCAACAUGGAUCUAUUAAAAAAUCAUCAAUACGGCAACCAAUGCCAUACCAACAUUCAGCGGUAGAGAUGACGAAGCCAGGGCAAUGCUAGCUGCAUUAGAAAUGCUAAAAGAAUCAGUUGAUGAACAACAUCAUCGCAUAAUAGUGCAAGCUGUUGAAUCAAAACUAAAGGGUUUUUUCAAAACUUCUGAAAAAACCAAAAAAAUCGCCAUGACAGCUUUUGGAAAAGGACUAAAAAAGGAACUACAUCAAGGGCUAGUUUUGUCAGGUACAAUCCCCAGUCUAGAAGCUGCUAUCAAAGCAAUUGAUAUCAUCGACAAACUAAGUCAAAACUCACAGGAGAGAAAGACGAAUAAAUGGCAGAAUGGUCAGGACAACAGAUAUAAUAGUUCCAACCAACGACAGCCCAAUAAUCCAAGAAGCAAUGAACAACGCUCAAAUAACAAUUGGAGGGCACAACAGACACAAACCGGGAGACAAGGGAAUGCCCAAAAUAGACAGUCUACACAGGGAACAGGGUAUAAUACUCAAAAUAGGCAAUCCGCCAGCCCAAAUUUUUUAGGGCAACGCGAGCCACAAAGAGCAGUGCAUUGCACUCAGGUGGAGACCCAGAACCCACAGGUGGACCAGCCCUCCACAAGCCAAUACGGGCAACAUACACAAUAAAUGUGCAAAAAUCAAAUUUUAUAAAGACAAGAUUAGGGCUAGCAGAUUCAAUAUGCAACCUAUUUGUAGAUUCAGGUUCCGACAUUUCUAUCAUCAAAGGCAACAAAGUAAGACCUACACAUUUACACCGAAACAUUUUAUUUGCCUGAGCGAAAAUCAAAAUUAAAGCAAUGCUCAAUGCAAACCGCACGUGAUCUUGAUUUCACAUCGACACCGAAUAUGUGCCAUAGACACAAAUUAUAUUGCUCGUAAUGCAAAAAGAAAAAAAAACUCGUUAUGAGCGGUUCUAUUCUUUUUUUUUACAAUAUUUGGCGAAUGCGACACUUUAGUUUGAUAAAUUAUAUUAAAUACAAUUUCCGUAGAUUCUCUUGAAAAAUCAACAUAGUCAUUUUUAUCUGUACUCAAAGUAAUAAAACCUAGCACCAAGGAAACGCUGUGCAAGCAUACGUAACAUAUUGAAGGUUCAUAUGUGUAGCAAAGUGCAGAUGAGCAAAUUUUGCAACAGGAAAAUUAAUCAAACAAUUCAGUACAGCCGAAACACCAUCUCGUUUAGGACCAUUAUCGCUAUCCAAAAUAAAUGAUAACCUCUUUAAGAAGCGAAAAACGAAAUAAUCAUAACAUAUUCUGCAUACGCGCACAACCUGGUGCAAUACAUAUAGCGUUCGUGGUGCAAGCGCAACCAAAUGCGCAAGAAUGUCAAAUUAUAAUGCGGGCUACACCCGCACGCCCUAGGUACGAAAUCAGUUCAAAUAACUAAACACCAAUGAAUAUCCAUAUAUUGGAAAGAAUCGAGAGUUGGCAAAUGCAGAUACACAUGAGCAUAAUGUCAAAUAGUUGCCAAAAAAGAACGAUAGCCAACAGCAAAUGCGUUCCGACGCUUUAGGUGCAUUUCCAUAGAUAGGUAGGACAGGUACAUAGACUGUUAGAAUAAUUAGUUUAUAAUGUAGAAAUAAUGUCAAUAAAAAAAAUAACAGUCAAAUGACAGUGCGUAACGACACCUGUUAGCAUGCGUAGUUCAGUGCUUUGUCGUCAUAACUACGAUCAAAGAUACCGUUGAUCAGUUUUCAGAAUCGGUAAUAAAAUUGUCAUGCAGUUGAAACUUCAAACAUUACGUGCGUGUGUUAUAAUCAUUUCGCCUUUACACUUAAAAUGUGUUUCAUUAUGUUUUCCGAUGACGACGAAAUACAGGAAAAAAGAUUUGCGUAACAAACGUAGAGUUUUACGGAAAAAAGCAGAUCCUUUUAAACUAUCAGACAACAGCGUAAGUAAAAUAAAAUUGUGUUUGAUUAAAAUUUUAAUUUCUUCGUUUAUUUGUAGGUUUCUUCAAUGUUCCAGGGUUACAAAACCAAUUUUUUCGUUUAUUUGCUGCUUGUUUGAUUUUCUUUGCAGAGGGUAGAUAUCAGCACGGAACUGGACAAGACUUCCACGUAGCCACAAACAACGUUUUCAAACACUGCGAGAUUUGAUACCACCUCAUAUCACACUAUUGGGCGAUUGGAUACAAUUGAAUAUGACAGAAUCUGAAAGAAUGGAGGCAAAACAAUAUUUCUUUGAAAGGUCGGGAAUAUCAGACGUGGUGAUGUGUGUAGAUGGGGCCCACAUAAGGAUAGUAAAACCCAAAUAUCGCCCCCUUUGCUAUAUCAAUAGAAAACAAUAUUACAGCCUCAAUGCUAUGAUUGUUUGUGAUCACAAAUAUCGCAUCAGAGCUGCGGACGCUAGAUUUGCAGGAUCUCAUCAUGACGCUUUUACUUGGAGUAUUAGUCCCAUUCGCAAACAUUUUAGAGAUCUACAUAAUAACUUCUGGAAUAACUGACAAGUUGUUGGGUGUGUACAUAUGUACACCAAACAUUUGUUUUACUGGCGAUAAUUUGUUUAUUUUUCAUCAUAGGAGAUGCAGGGUAUCCUUCCGAACCAUGACUUAUAACACCCAAUCGUAACCCAGAUUCAGGCACACUCUAUUCUAUUUUCUAUUUUUAAUAUAUUUCAUGCCAGAGGACGAAACAUCGUUGAGAGAACAAUAGGAAUACUGAAAUCCAAAUUUAGAUGCCUGCUUGGAACAGAUGAGCGUCUCAAUUAUUCGCCAAAAAAGUGCACAAAUGUUAUAAACAUAUGUUGUGCACUACACAACAUAUGUAUAGAAAACAACAUUGGUUGGCAGCAGAAUCUUGAUGAAAUGUGUUUAUUUAUAAAUGAUUAAAUUAAAAACGAUAUAAUAAAAAAAAAAACAUUAAUCCCAGCAUAAA